GCCCCUCUCCUAGGCAGUGGGGUCCUCAGCCCACUCCAUGCUCCAACUGCCACUCCUUUAACUGUCACUCAGAACUUUGCUUCUCAGUUCCAGCACCUGCCUGCCUCUCAGAUGGCUGCUGGCUUAGGAGCCAGGGAAGCUUUUUGAGGACCAGGACAGCUAUGGAAGAAACCAACUUGGUUAUUUGAGCAUCUUUUAGUGCUUUUCAGCUGUGCAUGAAGACUGCUUUCUUCAGAGGAGCUCCAGACUUUACCAAAAAGGGAAAUACUUCUUUUUCUCUUCAAAAUGAAAAUGGACUUGGGGAUCAGUGAGCCAAUAGACUUCAGUUCUGGAGAUCAUCAACAGCUGGUCCGGAAAACAGCAGAUCAUAAAACCAAGAGCAAAUCUGGUCACAGAACUUCACCUUCAUCUGAGCCAAAAAUAUCUCGUGGGCAUCCACACUCAAAGACUAGUAGCCAAGGGGAUUCAUAUGUGGUAGAAAUUUCAGAGGAGACCACCCAAGAUGACAACAAUGCUGCAGCCGGCCCAUUCUCAGACUCAUCAGUCCGCAGAGCUUUCAUUGUAAAAGUGUUCCUCAUCCUGUCAGCUCAGUUGGUGGUCACUGUGGCAAUUACCAGCGUGUUUGUUUUCUGGAAGGCUUUAAGAGUUUGGGUGCGCAACCAUGCCUGGUUCACCUAUGCAAUCUUGCCAGCAUUUUUUGUUGUACUUAUUAUACUUGCUUGCUGUGGGAAAAUCCGCCGUCAGGUGCCUGGAAAUUACAUUCUCCUGGGAGUAUUUACAGUUCUUCAAGGUCUGCUGCUAGGAGCCGUGACAGUUUUCUAUAAUGCCGAGGAAGUGUUAUGGGCAACGGCAGCAACUGCUCUGUUGACGUUAUCGCUCACUUUAUUUGCUCUUCAAACAAAAUGGGAUUUCACCUUGCUAAAUGGAGUGCUGUUCGUUUUACUCUUCGUGCUUUUAAUCUUUGGAAUUUUCUUAAUCUUCAUACGAUCAUAUUGGGCACAGCUGUUGUAUGCCGGACUGGGAACCGUGGUCUUCUCACUCUGAAUGAAAGUUCCUGUUCCUCUACAUCCCUGCCAGCAUUUGGUGUUGUCAGUGUUCCAGAUUUUGGCCAAUCUAAUAGUACAUGGUGAUGGAUGUGCAGCUCAUGGUGGGAGGGCAACAUCAUCAUUCUGACCUGGACCCUGAAGAGUAUGUUUUUGCUGCCCUGAACAUCUACUUGGACAUAAUCAACCUUUUGCUUUUUAUUUUGGAACUGAUUGGACUGCUACGGUAGUCAUGCGGCCAAGGCUGGCUUGUGUUGGGGGGGAGAGAGGGACACUGUGAAGUGUCACCAGGCUUGGACAUGCAGAGGUUACCACUUUGUAAGCCCUCUUAUUUUAAAAAAUGUUUGAAAAUACUUAUUUGUUUUCUCAAGUGGAACCAAGCAUUCAGUAGAUGGUAGCUGUAGCUGUUAUGUUUUUAGUUCCAUUGUCACACCUCAAAACUUUCUGGGGGACAUUUCUGAUUUUUAUAAAUUCAAAAGAUGAGUACCAUAAUUACAUACUUAAAAACAUUUGUAAGAUUCCCAUUACUUUGUUGAAGUUUUCCAGGGGCUCUUUAAAGCUGUAAACUACAUCACUCUACAUAAAUAAAAUUGAUUACAGAAACCUGUG
RNA transcript from Equus caballus (horse), 1652 nucleotides. It is a transcript of the gene named transmembrane BAX inhibitor motif containing 7, with no coding region annotated. Lineage: Eukaryota; Metazoa; Chordata; Mammalia; Perissodactyla; Equidae. The record is from RefSeq and is a predicted model, not a curated record.